UGAGCAAUCUGCCCUUCUCAUCGGAAUAAGCGUUGGAAACGACGUCUAAUGCCGAAUACGACCUCCUUUCGCAUGAUCGGAGGUGGAAAGCUCCGGCGGAGAAGGAUGAGCUCGCGGCCUAUCAGCUAGUUGGUGUGGGUAAUGGCCCACCAAGGCGACGACGGGUAGCCGGCCUGGAGGAGGGUGACCGGCCACACGUGGGACUGAGACACGGCCCAGACCUCCGUACGGGAGCAG
Molecule: ribosomal RNA, 237 nt
Filed under: uncultured bacterium
Lineage: Bacteria
Description: partial 16S ribosomal RNA
Rfam family: Bacterial small subunit ribosomal RNA
Source: RNAcentral